ACUGGGCGUAACGGGCAGUGUAGACGGCCUAGCAGGUCAGACGUGAAAUCCCCGGGCUCAAAUCGGGACGUGCGUAUGAAACAGUUAGGAUAGAGGAUACGAGAGGAAAGCGGAAUUCCUGGUCUAUCGCUGAAAUGCGUAGAUAUCAGGAGGAACACCGUUGACGAAAACGGCAUUCUGGACUAGUUCUGACGCUGAGGCUCGAAAGCGUGGGGAACGAACGGGAUUAGAUACCCCGGUAGUCCACGCUGUUAACGAUGAGCACUAGGUGUAUCGGGUAUCGACCCCUGCUUGUGCCUCAGCUAACGCUAUAUAGUGUCUCCGCCUGGGGAUUACGCACGCAAGUGUGAAACUCAAAGGAAUUGAAGCGGGCCCCGCACAAGCCGCUGGAGUAGUGUGGUAUAAUUCAGAUGCUUACGCGAAGAACCUUAACACGGGCUUGACAUGUUGGUGGUAGGAAGCCGAAAGGUAAGCCUGACCUUUCGGGGAGCAUUCACAGGUCCUGCAGUGACUGUUGUCAGCUCGUGUCGUGAGAUUUUGGCUUAAGUCCCGCAACGAGAGCAACUCAUAACCUUAGUGGCCAUCAGUUCGGAUGGGAACUCUAGGGGAACAAUCGGUGACAAACCGGAGUGAAGGUGGGGAUGACGUCAAGUUCUCAUGGCCAUUAUGUCUUGGGAUACUACACAGUACUACAAUGGUCGGUACAAUGAGUAGCAAUAUUAGCCGAGGUGGACCCAAUGAUCGGGGAACCGGCCUCAAUUCAGAUUGGAGUCUGCAACUCGAUUCCAUGAAGUUGGAAUCGAUAGUGAUCGCGGAUCACGCAUGCCGCCGGUGAUUCGUUCCAGGGGCUAGUAUACCCAGCCCGUACAACACGUGAGUUGCUGUAUUAGAAGUCGUUAGGCGUCUGGCAAGGAG
RNAcentral lists this ribosomal RNA (915 nucleotides) under uncultured organism. Its description in RNAcentral is "bacterial SSU rRNA". It matches the Rfam family "Bacterial small subunit ribosomal RNA", at positions 553 to 1448 of the family's 1533-position model. The record is from RNAcentral.